Talpa occidentalis (Iberian mole) is the source of this 3245-nucleotide long non-coding RNA. RefSeq lists it as uncharacterized. NCBI's taxonomy places the organism in Eukaryota, Metazoa, Chordata, Mammalia, Eulipotyphla, Talpidae. The record is from RefSeq and is a predicted model, not a curated record. The transcript is spliced from 6 exons.
UCAGUCAGUCAGGUAGCUGCUUCUCCUGUCAUCAGUGUGAAAUUACCAGCGUGGCCUCAUUAUCUGCUUACUUCAAAUUUGGAGGCAAUAUUUCUGUUUGAAGGAUAAUAAUCUCCAUUUAAAACAAAAAUAACAUCUCAGAGACGCACAUGCAAAGUCCUUUGCUGACCUGGCAGAGACAGCGCCUGCCUUUCCUGAAAACUAUUGAAUGUUUUUUCCACUGGGGAGCUAGAUCUCAGGAGGGAGGCUCCGCGUGACUUUAAAAUAUGCGUCUCUUCCAUUCCCAUCAUCUUCAUCUUAUGGGAGCCACACCAGAGGCCCGGGCUGCUGGGACAAAACAGUAAUCAGGGCCCAGCCUUGCCUUCCCCGCUGUGGCAUUCUUAAGUUCCAGAACACAGGAACCGACAAGAAACUGGGAAUAAAGGGGUUUGAUCUGCACACUGCAAACACCUCUUGCAAAAAGAAGAAUGAAAAAAAAAAUGCCAGCUCCUUCUAUGGGGGAAGAGAAGGCGUCAAGACAUGUUAAAUGAUCCGGUUCCCCUCCGAGGCGGCGCUACUGCGGACUCUGCAGCGUAGCCCGGCUGUUCUGCUGACGCUGAGGACCCGCAGCUCAGGAGGAGGCAGACGGGCUGAGAGCAAACGCUCUGAUGAGAAAACUGAAGUCUAGGAUGGGAGUGUGGCCCCACUGCCUCAGGUGUUGUUGGAGACUGAGCCUUCUGCCGUCAGCUGCCUCCUCCCAGCUCCCAUCUGCAGAGGCCUGGUGAGCAGUGCUCUGUCUGAUCGCCUGAGCAGAGCAGCUUUUGAGUCUGACAAGGGGCCCAAUGGUGACAACCCUGCAAUCGCCAGGAGACUCCAGGACAAAAGAUGGUCAGUUUAUGCCUGUUCCUAUCUUCCCCUGGAUGCUCCAGCCCUUGCUCCUGGAAGGAGUCGAUCUUGAUGUUUCUCCCCUCCCCGCGAUGCCUUUGGAUAGAUCUUCUCCAGAGGUGCUCGGCUCUGAGACAGAGCCCUGUGGGUGUUUACGUUCCCUCAAUGGAGUGUCAGGCACGCCUACCAUGUGUGCAGGCUGUGCGUGUGGGAAAGAUGGCUGCUCAGCAGCACAGCGCUUGCAGGAGACAAAUGGGCCCUAGUUUUAUCCAUAGGAGAAGAAUGCUAGAUACCAAUAUGUAUUUCCCCCAUUUCGUGAAUGGGGAGACUGAGGCUCAAGGUCCUAUAACUGUCCAAAGGAUGCAGAACAACAUCAUUUGGAGAUACAGGAAAAUUUCAGUUUGGAAAAUAGCUGGUUGUCCACAAAACCACAGCUGUCUUUUGGAAAGUUUCAUUACAGGCCAUGAUUAAGUCUUUGUUUCUUCAGUGCUGUCUCCCCAAGAGCAGAGCAUUGAGCUAGAGUUUGCAGGUACAACGGGGGAGUUAAAAAGCUGGAGGUGGGAUGUGAGUCGGCAACUCCCUGCGAGUCCUAUUCUAGGAAGUUUCCUGAACAGUCCUACUGUGCACUGUAAGUGGAAGGGUGUCACCAUCCGGCCUCUGGCCGUAGGCUUCUGGCAGACCCUAAACAUAGAGGUUCCUUGAGAUCAUCUAGACUCUUUCUUCUGAGUCCUCCUUCCAGAUGAUGGAAGAGACUGGCCAGGGUCAUCCCCAUUCAAUGAGAUUACACAGGCAAGGCUGAAGCCUCCCUGGCUCUUCUUGCUUCCUCAUCAGGCUUGACACAGGACUCCGGAUGAAUUUAAGUUCCCAUUGUUAUACUGGUUCAACAAACACAGAGAGGACAAUUAUCAUCUGCCAGUUCUGGUGCUUUCCAGACAUUAGCUCAUUUCAUCUGGUGGGAACAAAUCUUCAAAGAAGGUACUGCUAUGCUCCCCAUUUCACAGAUGUAGUAACUGAGGCACAGAGAGUUAAGUCCUUAGUCAAGGUCAUACAUAGCUGGUGAACCACAAGUAGCUGUCCCGGGGUCUCCAUCCUACCCACUAUGCUGUGCGUGCAGCCUAUCAUGAACAGAAAAAAUCUCCUACCAUUUGAUUUUGCUUUCAUUUUCUCCUGACUUCAUCAAGGAGAAAGUCUCAACUUGCCGUUACUUUGUCUUUAAAACCUCCCCAAGGCUUAUUAAUAUUUUUUAACAAAGGGAGAACAGGAUUCAGACUCAGUACUUUCCUGACAAUGGUGUUUAUCGGAAGUGUCUUCAAGGUGAUUAUGCCUGUGACUAAAUCUGCAGACGGCUACCCUUUGUAGAAGCAGAUUCCUAGGGAUCCAGAACUUGCUCAAGGCACCCAAAGAGUCAGGUCACUCAACUCAUCAAAAGAAAAAAAAAAUUGGUCUUUUGACCACCUGCCAUCUUUAGCUUUUUCAAUUCAAUUCAGCUCAAAACCGAUUCUACGAACAGCUUUAGAAUGGUUGGCGAGAGACAUCAUGGUACGUGGACAUGGGGGAGAAUCAUGAACUUUCUAUAAGCGCCUUGUAUCAUGAUUGUAUGAUCUUUAUGGGGGGUGACCCCUUUAGCCAUUCUUUUUUUCCCUUAGACACUUUAUCCUGAAAGGGUUACAAUCCCAAGAAAAGCAUUUUCGUAAGCACAAAGAACUAAUAUUAGCAGAUUGGGGUUUCUGUAAAUAUUCAUUGUAAUCUGUGACUUGGUGAGCAUCGAAUUCCACCCUCCCGAAAGCUGCACAUUUAUAACUUGUGAAUUCAUAAAUAUUUACGAAUUCACACAAUCAUCACUGACAAAUUAUUUCAUCUGACAGCUCCACACAAGCCCUGCCUGGUUUCGUGAAAUUCUGAUCAAAUCUCGCGUAAACUUCCUGGGUGACAAGCAGAGACCAGCACAGCUAAAAUCACAACCAGAUCCUACAGAUUCGAAUGGGUCACUAACUGAUAUUUACAACAACAACAACCUGAGAGAGAGAGAUUUUGUUGUAUGAUGGGCUGCCAGAUGUUCUCAACAACUGUACAUAUAUUUAUAGCAAUGCAUCUUUGAAGGUGUCAAAAGCUGGGGGCCUUGUCAGGAGGAGGGACGUGAGCAAGCAUCAUGGAAAGAAAGGAGGUUGGGAGCCGGGAGGCUGUGUUUGCACCCCGAGUCCACUGUUGGGGGCCUGUGUGAUCUUUAACCGGUUCCCAACCUUGCUGAACUCCGUUUAUGAGCUUUGAAUUCAGGAUAAUAAAAACAGCAACGCAAGAAGGCUGUUGUAAUAAUUAUAGAUGCUGUCAGUAGAGCCCUGGUUCAGGGCCUGCCACAAAGCAGGGGCUUCAAUAAAUCUUGG